AGCUGUAAGCGUAGCAAUAUGUUUAGGUGAUAGAUACUAAUAGGUCGAGGACUUGACCAAA
RNAcentral lists this ribosomal RNA (61 nucleotides) under Acidaminobacter sp. JC074. Its description in RNAcentral is "partial 23S ribosomal RNA". The record is from RNAcentral. Lineage: Bacteria; Bacillati; Bacillota; Clostridia; Peptostreptococcales; Acidaminobacteraceae.